AGGAUUGUGAGGCCUCCCUACCCAUGUGGAACUGCCCAUAGGUGGAAGAGACUUGGCUUUUCUCAGAUGAGAUGUUGGACUGAGGACUUUUGCAUUAAUGCUGAAUUAAGUUAAGACUUUGAGGGACUGUUGGGAAGGCAUGAUUGGUUUUGAAAUGUGAGGGCAUGAGAUUUGGAGGGGCCGGGGUGAAAUGAUAUGGUUUUCCUGCGUCCCCACCCAAAUCACAUCUUGAAUUGUAACUCCCACAAUUCCUACAUGUUGUGGGAAGAAUCUAGUGGGAGAUGAUUGAAUUAUGGGGGCAGGUCUUUCCUGUGCUGUUCUCCUGAUAGCGAAUCAGUCUCAUCAGAUCCAUUGGUUUUAAAAACAGGAAUUUCUCUGCACAAGCUCUCUGCCUGCUGCCAUCCAUGUAAGAUGUGAUUUGCUCCUACUUGCCUUCUGUCAUGAUUGUGAGGCCUCCCCAGCCACAUGGAACUGUGAUUCCAGUUAAACCUCUUUCUUUUGUAAAUUGCCCAGUCUGGGGUAUGUCUUUAUCAGCAGCAUGAAAAUGGACUAAUAAACCACAUUUCUGUAUAACUUUGUUACUGCCACAACAUAUGGAUGGGUCUAACAUUUUCCUGGGUCAUAUUCUGAUAUUUGAUAGGGUUUUAAACCAGAAAGGUUGUAGGUUUCACUCACCCACACUAACUAAUGAAAGACAGGGACCCAGCCUUGUUUUCUCUGCAAUCUGGAGCCCUGGCUUCAUUAGAUAUGCUGCUUGCAUGAUACUGGCAUAAAAGAACGCAGACAUUUAAAAAAAUUCGAAUAAUUGCAGCAGGAUAUUCAAGCUUGAAGAGAAAGUUUAUACCAUAGGAAAACUAAAAUAAAAUAGAAAAUAAAUG
RNAcentral lists this long non-coding RNA (878 nucleotides) under Homo sapiens (human). RNAcentral's name for it is "novel transcript". The record is from RNAcentral. Lineage: Eukaryota; Metazoa; Chordata; Mammalia; Primates; Hominidae.